GCCAACGGCCAUACCACGUUGAAUACACCGGUUCUCGUCCGAUCAUCGAAGUUAAGCAACGUCGGGCGUGGUUAGUACCUGGAUGGGUGACCGCCUGAGAACCACACUAGGUAUCUACU
This 119-nucleotide ribosomal RNA is filed under the name Rhodnius prolixus. The record is from RNAcentral. Lineage: Eukaryota; Metazoa; Arthropoda; Insecta; Hemiptera; Reduviidae.